CCCACCUAUUGUUCUGUUGUUCCCGAGGAGCCCUGAACGCAGCCUGAGACCGACUUUUAAAUUUACUAGCGAUAAUUUCAUGAAAGUUUUGCUAUAUUUAGCGAGUCUAUCAGUUACUGCAAAUUUGCAGUAAUAUUUACAACCUAAUGGAAGAAGCAACACAACCAGCAAAACCCCUGGUUCCACCAGGAAUAAUGAAGAAGACAGGGUACAAGAUAGGUCUGGCACAGGAAACGCCCCAUGGGGUAGAACAUCCACCUGCCAAUGAAAGCCAGUUUGCAUCAAAAAACAAAAGAACUCUCAGUAAACCAUUCACUUUGGAGUCUGAUUUAUUUGAGGUUUCAAUUGCAGAUGCAAAAUUGAACAUCAGCAUGCUGUUUACACAAUUUGCUGAAUUCUUAAGCAUUAAGGCUACCGCAGACAACUCCCAGAUGAAAGAGCUGGAGGGAAUUUUGAGAGAAGCUCAAAACCAUGAAUGCUACUUGAAGGAGAAGAAAGAACAUCUGACACAAACAUUAACUCUGAUUUCUGAAAAACUGCAGAAUGGAACUUAGAAUGUUUGACUGUAACUUACAUUUUGUUGACAUGUUUGAUAUAUUUAAGUUUUUUAGUAGAAAGUCAUUUUGAUAAGAUUUUAUAUAUUGUAACACACAAACUAUAACCAAAUUAUUAAUUCUUCAUUAAAGGAUGGCGGUUUGGGAUGUAGUCUAAAUGAAUAUGACUGAAUGUAAAUCUCUUUGUAAAUAACAUUUAACAGAAUGUUCAAGUGUUUACGUGUUUGUAGUAUUAUUUGCAAAAAUUAAAAACUUUCUAUCUAGUAAAAAAUAUUUUCAUUUUGUUAUUAAUAGUAAACCAGUAAUUCUUAUUAAUAAGAGCUCAGCUUGUUAUGUUGUAAUUUGUUUUAGCAUUAAGGCUACCGCAGACAACUCCCAGAUGAAAGAGCUGGAGGGAAUUUUGAGAGAAGCUCAAAACCAUGAAUGCUACUUGAAGGAGGAGAAAGAACAUCUGACACAAACAUUAACUCUGAUUUCACUUUCCAGUAUUCUCUCGUUCAGCUUAUCCCGUUGCCGACCCAGUUCCGUGUUCCCGACUACCGCUUCUCGUCUGAUCCUGACCGGUACUGUAAACCCCUUGUUGCUGUUGCUGAACUCUGCAUGUUACUGGAACUGUCUUAGCCUGUCGAUUUGGACUUGGAAAUCUGAGCCUCCUGUUUUUGACCCACGCCUGCUGUCAGAACCGAUCACACCUGUGCCUCCUAUACCUCAAUCCUGUGUUCAUCCGUGCAUGACCUGGACUGUCUGUGAUUAGGAAAACUGCAUUAAAACCCUUGAGCUUUACCACCUGUCUGCUGUCUCAGCACUGUGAAUUUGGGUCCGCUCUCUGCCGUUUUCCUGACAGAACGAUCUGGCCAGACUUGGACCCAGCCAGUGCUCAGCCUCCGUCCAGGUCAAUGACUGGUUUUCUUUUUCUUUUCUUACCCGUCCGUUCAGCUGCAAGUACUAAUCCCUCGCGGGAAGAAUGGAGUUUUCAUGCCCGAGUCUGCCGGUGGAUAUCCGCGGAGACCUCGAGAGGUUAACUAAGAAAUAUGCGAAAACACCCAGCCUUGAGGUCCGUCUCCGUCACGUAAAACAGGGCACCGAGUUGUUGACGGCUGAGUAUUGGUGACGUGAGUAUCCCGGAGUGCAGGCAUUCUAUUAGAGACUUCAUUCGCUGCAGAGGGAUUUGGCAUGCACUCUGCACGCAUCGUCCGCCUGUGUCUCCACAGCUACUCCUGCUGCCAUUUCAUCGCUUCACGUCUCCGUUCCUGUUGCCACUCCGGCGGUUCACGCUCCUGUUCCCGUUCCUGUCGCCGCUCUGGCGGUUCAAGCUCCCGUUCCUAUUGCCGCUCUAGUGGUUCACGUUCCCGUUCCUGUCCCCGUUUCAUCGGCUCCAGCCCAAGCCCCGGAUGCCGCCAUCUCUGCCCGCCACGCGGACCCAGUCAGGGAAACCCAGCCCGCGCCGCUCACCGCGCCUCAGCCGACAGCCAGUCGCCAGUCACGUUUCCAGGGUCCCACGUCCAGAGACCGCGGUCACAGUCUCCGACUGACUCCCUUCCCCGGCAGAGGAUUUCUCCGUCCUGCUGGCCGUCUCACGUUGAUAGCAGGCAUCCCAGACAGCGUCGUCCAGCGGAUCCACCCUCACUGCUCUUCCCCAGUGUUAUUCCUUUUUGCUCACCUCAUGAACACCAUCGAAGUGACAUUAGAUCAGAGCAAAAGGGGACAACUGUUUGAGGAGGCGGCCGCUCUCAUCCUGAGGGAACCUGCCCUGCAUGAGGCCCUGCAACUCCCUGGCCUGCAGCCAGCAGCCACACCAGUUCCUGCGUUGCAGUCAGGUUCCAGCCCAGUCAAGCCGUUCCUGUUCCUGUCGGCUCCACGGAGGACGCCGUUCCUGUUCUUGCCGCAGUUCCAGGAGGAGGUCGCGCCUGCUCCAGCUUUGGUUCCUGUCGACCUCCAGGAGAAGGUCGUUGCAGCUCCAGCUUUGGUUCCUGUCGACCUCCAGGAGGAGGUCAUUCCAGCUCCAGCUUUGGUUCCUGUCGGCCUCCAGGAGGCGAUCGUUCCAGCUUCUGUUCCUGUCGGCCUCCAGGAGGAGGUUCCGGGCUUCGGGAACACCAGCCAAGGGACCGCUCCUGGAGCUCCGGGUGGUCCGGUAGAGACCACGUCCUCUUUCAUCCCGGUGAGCCCGGACUGGUUCAGGGCAGCCCGGAGCCUGGGGUUUCCUUGGACACAGGAGCCUGCGGAGACACGUUCAUCUCUGCUCUUUGUGGUCCGGCUACGUCUGCCUCUAAACCUGGUGGCCCGGCACGGGUCACGUCCGCAGAUGCAGCUCCUGGUGGCCCGGCACGGGUCACGUCCGCAGAUGCAGCUCCUGGUGGACCGGCACGGGUCACGUCCGCAGAUGCAGCUCCUGGGGGUCCGGUCACGUCCGCAAAUGCAGCUCCUGGUGGUCCGGUCACAUCCGCAGAUGCAGCUCCCAGUGGUCUGGCACCGGCCACGCCUGCAUCGGUUCCUGGUGGCCCGGCACCGGCCACGCUUGCAUCGGUUCCUGGUGGCCCGGCACCGGCCAUGCCUGCAUCGGUUCCUGGUGGCCCGGCACCGGCCACGCCUGGUGGUCCUGUCGGGACCACGUUUGCCCCGGCUCCUGUUGGUCCAGCGUCAGCUGCGUCCAUCCCGGCUCCGCGUAUGGUUUCGUCUCCACGCCGGUCCUCGUCUCUGGUCCUGGUACCAACGUCACGUCCGUCUCGGACUCGUAUUCCGGCCUGGUGGCCUCGCCCUCAGCGCCUCCUGCCGUUUGGGUGGCGCUCCCUCAUUCAGCGCCAUCCGCCUCGGCUCCGCUGUCGUCACGGCCGCUCCCCUGGGGAUCGUCCCCUCCCGCCUACCGUUCCAGCCCAGCGGCUGCUGGGUUGGGAGAAUCUCCUGCUACCGCCCUCCACGGGAGGGGGUUUCUGAGUCUGGAGGGGUUCCUGGAAAUGUAUAUGUUUGGACCCAUGAUGGACCCUUGUUUUGAAAAAAAUUCUCCUACUCACCCACAAAGCACUUAAUGAUAAAGCUCCUUCUCAUCUUAAAGACCUCAUAGUUCCCUGCUCCCAGCAGAACACUUCGUUCUUAGGGCCUUGGGCUACUUGUGAUUCCUAGAGUAUUUAAAUGUAGAACGGGAGGCAUAGCUUUUAGCUACCAAGCUCCUCUCCUGUGGAACCAGCUGCCUCUUCAAGUUUGAGGAGCUGACACACUUUCCACCUUUAAGAUCAGGCUUAAAGCCUUCCUUUUUGAUAAAGCUUAUAGUUAGAGAUGGUUCAGGUCACUGGCAAUGAUUGUUAGUCACAGGAACCAUCUCUUAGUUAAGCUGCAAUAGACAUAGACUGCUGGGGGACUAAAUUUAUACACUGAGCUCCUCUGUUUCCUUCUACCUCUUCUGUCCAAUAACCUCCCCUCAUAGUUGUAUAUUCAACUAACCUUGUCUCUUUCUCUCCAGUAGUAUUGCUUCUCCCCCGCUCUCUCUCUCUCCUCCAUUCUGUCCUCACCUACAGGUAUCAUCGGACUCAGAGCUUUGUUUCUGUGAUGGGCAGCUGCAGAUCCAACCAUCCUGCCAGUAUCUAGUCCCUAUUCCAACUAUCCUGCCUGUGCUCUGUUGUUGCUUGUUGUAAUGGAAAAAUUUUACCUUAGUGCUAUUUCUUAUCCAACACACUCGUCAUGUGCUGGUUAGGUGCAAUACUGAACAUUCUUACACAAACAAAUAAUCUCUUGUGCCCUGACGUACAUCAAGUCUAAACAUCUGAUGUUACAUUUGACUGACUAAUAAUUUAUGAUAUAUGUUUGGCAGAAGCAACUUGAGGAUCGUGGGCUCUUUGCAUCACACCUCCGUGGUGUGUGCACUGAUCUCCCCAGCUGGUUUUUGGUUUGUUGAUGUGCACGAUCAACAUCCAUGCUUUUUAUUUGCUUUCCCCAUUAUUUUUAUUUUCUUUAUUAUUUCAAUAAAUCGCACAAAAGGACAACUCUCUCUCAUCUGCUUCCUCGUGGAAAAUUUCCACCACAGAAAUUGGCGUCUACGAACAGGAUCCGCUGCAGGUCAUCUGGACGGUGUGACCAGGGACGAUAGUCCUGAGGACUAGGGUCGCUCAGCCUCCAAACCUCUACAGCUGUUCUGAGUGGGAGGACUGCUCACCCAUCUGGAUCGCCUCUGACGAGAUCCAACAAACACAAAAUCCAACCUCUACUCGGCCCGGUGAGAGAGAUUCCGUUUUGUUGUGACUUAUCGGAGAAAAAAAAAAAAAAAAGAAAACGGGUUUGAAUUUGGUUUCAGGUAUUCGGGGUUUACUUGGCUCUGAUCAUUUGGUUUAGGGAAAGUAAGGCAAAUAACAAUUAAUUCUAAAGCAUCCCCUACUAGACUAAAACAUAAAAGAAAACAUAAUUAGGAUUAGAGGUGAUAAUAUUUCUGAAACGACUAUUUGGCAGAAAACAUCUAAAAUAUAAAAAUUAGGACCAAACAAAUUUUUUUUUUUUUAAAUUUUAAAUUUAAUAUUCGGGUAGAAAAAUUAAUUAGUCUGCCCUGGUGGCCGAGACGGUGGUUGCUAAGGGUUGGCUUGUGGAACCGAGCUUGUUUUGUCUGUACUGAGGAUACAGACCAGUGUGCAAAUCUGAGCGCAGUCCAAAGGGAGUGGACAAGAAAUAAAAAACGGCUUCUGAAAUACGGAGCGCGUUUGCAGGGGGAAGUGUUUUUGAGAUACGAGGGACCCGGGUCUUAGAGGGGCCUGACGGUGAGGGAGCACUUCCGAGAACCCUGUCGCUGAUAUGAGCGGUUCCCUUUCUACGGAGACGUCCGUGGAAGAGAAAUUUUGAGAAAAGGUUCCGGCCGGAACACAAAAAAGUCUAAGGCAGAAAACCGCCGGGACUCUGAAAGAUGGGUUCGGGGCGAUCUAAGUCUCCACCACCAGACUGCAGCAUUACAAACAUUACAAAAGUAAAAGGUAAAUAUGGUUAUUAGUGCGUUUCAUGUUUCCAUGAGUGGGAAACUGGUUAUGGGUUCAAAAGGACAAUCGCUUUGUGUAAAAGGACAUACGCACCUUAGAAAGAAAAAUUAUAUGCAAAAGAUGAGAUUUGAAAAGCAAAACUAUCAAAACUAAACCCCUAAAAGAAACAAAAGAGAGAUGAGAGUAACAGAAAAAAAGGAGAUAACAACUCUGGGGAAGAAUUGUUUGCACUCUGCCACACACACACAUACACACACCACACACACACAUAUCAUGUCAAGAGCAAACGCUCCCAUUGUUUCUGCUCUUUGUCCUAAUGCAGAACUGAGCGCGAUGAGGGUAAAUCCGGAUCUGGACUCCUUUCCCACCAUCAGCAGAAGAACCGAAGGAGAAGAAGCGCCUGACCAACAACCAGAACGGAGUGGAAGCUCUGACACCACAGCAGCUGGAGGACACAGACCCCAGCAUGGACGCCUCAGCGACUUCCACAACGUCUGCAGCCAUCACGUUCUGGGCUCAUCAGAUGAACCAGCUACUACAAGCCCUGCACCAGCAGGAAAAGACUGAAGCUUCAGAGGCCGUGAAACUGUCACACAAACGUAUGAGUCUGAUACAGACACCUGCUAAUGACAAUCAGCAAAUUAAAACAAGGACAGACAAACAGCAGAGUGAACUCCAUCUGAGAAGACGUGCUCUGACACAGACACUGGUUGAAACAACAGGAGAGGCUUCAGACGUGAUCGGCCCAAAAGAGCUGCAUGCGAGGAUCCAGGAAAGGUCUGUCAUCGAGGAACAACUGUCCCAUUGAAAGGCUUCACCCACUGGCGCUCACAUCAGACUGAUGGUUGGGGAAGGAGGAAGGUGACGGUUCCUUUUCAUGUGACGUAGAAGACGGUACGUCGUUCCACACGUCCUUCUGUGAAAACAUGAUGGAGACAGAUGCAGGACGUGGGUUCUUUUGUGAACAGAUGUCAACGGGGUGGAGACUGGUGAACGACUUCUGACCCCAUGUGACGUAUUCACCUACUUUGCAUACUUUUAGAAAACUUUUUUUAUUCUGCCCGUCAUGUGCAGCAAACAGUGAACUUGGUUCCUCCACAUUCUAAUGACACACACUACAUGCUUUUUUUUUUUUU
This is an RNA transcript of Betta splendens (Siamese fighting fish), 6639 nucleotides long. RefSeq lists it as uncharacterized. The record is from RefSeq and is a predicted model, not a curated record. Lineage: Eukaryota; Metazoa; Chordata; Actinopteri; Anabantiformes; Osphronemidae. The transcript has 7 exons.